RNAcentral lists this ribosomal RNA (387 nucleotides) under Triticum aestivum (bread wheat). Its description in RNAcentral is "partial small subunit ribosomal RNA". Lineage: Eukaryota; Viridiplantae; Streptophyta; Magnoliopsida; Poales; Poaceae. The record is from RNAcentral.
GAUUCUUUCACUGUUCUCCAAGCGUCUUAUCAAGAUCUACGGGAGAAUGAGGGAGGAUCUGUUUUCUUUAGAGAUGCUGUUUCCUACAACCGGGAUCUCCUUGAGGCGGAAAGCUCCGCAAGGAGGUGCCUGGAAGUGGAACAGAGGAUCCGAUGGGAAGAAAUCCCCAAGAGCAAGGCAAGUCUCGAAAGAGCUGAGCACGAGCAUGCUCUCGACUUGUUUAAGUCGGAGGAUCUUAGAAGGGAAUUAGAAAAAAAAGAGCGGGGUAGCUCAGUAAUUCUGAUUCUUUUCUCUUCCAGCCCCCGGGCGGGCCCCUCUUUCUUUUCUCUUCCAGCCCCCGGGCCCCUCUUUGAUAAGGAAAGUUUUCAUUUCUCAAAUAAAAAAUGA